CGAAAGCCUGACGGAGCAAGACCGCGUGGGGGAGGAAGGCUCUAGGGUUGUAAACCCCUUUUCUCAGGGAAGAAGCUCCGACGGUACCUGAGGAAUCAGCCUCGGCUAACUCCGUGCCAGCAGCCGCGGUAAUACGGAGGAUGCAAGCGUUAUCCGGAAUGAUUGGGCGUAAAGCGUCCGCAGGUGGCAAUGUAAGUCUGCUGUCAAAACCCAGGGCUCAACUCUGGUCAGGCAGUGGAAACUGAAUAGCUAGAGUGCCGUAGGGGUAGAGGGAAUUCCCGGUGUAGCGGUGAAAUGCGUAGAGAUCGGGAAGAACAUCGGUGGCGAAAGCGCUCUACUGGACGGCAACUGACACUCAGGGACGAAAGCUAGGGGAGCG
This 379-nucleotide ribosomal RNA is filed under the name uncultured cyanobacterium. RNAcentral describes it as "bacterial SSU rRNA". It matches the Rfam family "Bacterial small subunit ribosomal RNA", at positions 376 to 770 of the family's 1533-position model. The record is from RNAcentral. Lineage: Bacteria; Bacillati; Cyanobacteriota.